AUGGCGGAGGAAUCAUGGAGCAACUCCCCCCCGUCUGCCAAGAGAAUGGCGGAGGCAUCAUGGAGCAACUCCCCUCCGUCUGCCAAGCAUCAUCGUGGUGAGGCGUCUGGCAAGGAGCCGCUGGUGGUCGACGACGACGUUCCGGUCCCCGGGCAGAAGCGGGACUACACGGUGCCGCUCAAGGUUGAUAUCCACCUGAAGGACCCGCUGGAUGUCGUAUGCACCAGCAAUCCAGACGAAGCCGACAAGAUGAUCCGCAAGAUGAGGAGGAGGCUCGGCGGCAUGCUUCCUCAGAAUAUCAGCGUUGAUGUCGAGUAUACCAGGGAAGACAAACCUCCGCAAAUUGCUGCAGUUCUGCAGUUAUGCAUGGAGGAUCUCGUCCUGGUAUACCACAUCACCGCGGCAACCAAAUGGCCCAAGGAACUCCGCCCGCUCCUGCAGGAGAAGAAGUUGUACACCUUUGUUGGCUUCUCCAUUGGAGGUGACAAGGAUAAGCUGAAGUUGUCUGGUUUAGAGAUCAACCUCGACAACCUCAUCCACCCAUCCUACAAGGAAAUGAAGCAGAAGAUCGACAGGAAAUCGGACCACCUACUAUGGGGGGACAGCCCACUGCCAAACAAGCUCAUCGAGUAUGCCGUGAAAGAUGUGUACGUCACCUACGAGGCAUGGAAGAAAAUCGAAAUCACCAAAGAAGGUUUGGAGCUCUGGCAAGAGGCGGAGGAUCAUUGGGAUGACCCCUACUACUGGGGAUAUUGA
RNAcentral lists this ribosomal RNA (756 nucleotides) under Triticum aestivum (bread wheat). Its description in RNAcentral is "partial small subunit ribosomal RNA". The record is from RNAcentral. Lineage: Eukaryota; Viridiplantae; Streptophyta; Magnoliopsida; Poales; Poaceae.